This 77-nucleotide small RNA is filed under the name Xanthomonas arboricola. Its description in RNAcentral is "sX9 sRNA". It matches the Rfam family "Xanthomonas sRNA sX9". RNAcentral also lists the same sequence under 1 other name. The record is from RNAcentral. Lineage: Bacteria; Pseudomonadati; Pseudomonadota; Gammaproteobacteria; Lysobacterales; Lysobacteraceae.
GUGUGCCACCUGUACGCUCCGGCGCUGGGCGCGCCGGCCGCAUCCAGCUGCCGCGCGCUUGCCACGUUUCGUUAGCC